This 76-nucleotide transfer RNA is filed under the name Salmonella phage FSL SP-107. RNAcentral describes it as "tRNA-Ile". The record is from RNAcentral. Lineage: Duplodnaviria; Heunggongvirae; Uroviricota; Caudoviricetes; Andersonviridae.
CUAUUUCUCGGUAAAGAAAAGGAGAAGGUUCGAUUCCUUCACUCGGCAGAUGUCGAGUUGGUGUAAUGGUAGCACU